GGCAAGAUGACCGAGUGGUUAAGGUGUGUGACUCAAGCUAUAAAUGCUUGCCCUAGCAAAUAGGGUCGUCUUCACAUGUCGCAAGACGCGUGGGUUCGAAUCCCACUCUUGUCA
This is a non-coding RNA of Aspergillus bertholletiae, 114 nucleotides long. The record is from the annotation of a GenBank genome assembly. NCBI's taxonomy places the organism in Eukaryota, Fungi, Ascomycota, Eurotiomycetes, Eurotiales, Aspergillaceae.